CACUCCUGCGGGAGGCAGCAGUGGGGAAUAUUGCACAAUGGGCGCAAGCCUGAUGCAGCCAUGCCGCGUGUAUGAAGAAGGCCUUCGGGUUGUAAAGUACUUUCAGCGGGGAGGAAGGCGAUAAGGUUAAUAACCUUGUCGAUUGACGUUACCCGCAGAAGAAGCACCGGCUAACUCCGUGCCAGCAGCCGCGGUAAUACGGAGGGUGCAAGCGUUAAUCGGAAUUACUGGGCGUAAAGCGCACGCAGGCGGUCUGUCAAGUCGGAUGUGAAAUCCCCGGGCUCAACCUGGGAACUGCAUUCGAAACUGGCAGGCUAGAGUCUUGUAGAGGGGGGUAGAAUUCCAGGUGUAGCGGUGAAAUGCGUAGAGAUCUGGAGGAAUACCGGUGGCGAAGGCGGCCCCCUGGACAAAGACUGACGCUCAGGUGCGAAAGCGUGGGGAGCAAACAGGAUUAGAAACCCUGGUAGUCCCAUGA
This 475-nucleotide ribosomal RNA is filed under the name uncultured organism. RNAcentral's name for it is "partial 16S ribosomal RNA". It matches the Rfam family "Bacterial small subunit ribosomal RNA", at positions 334 to 800 of the family's 1533-position model. The record is from RNAcentral.